This 428-nucleotide ribosomal RNA is filed under the name uncultured bacterium. RNAcentral's name for it is "bacterial SSU rRNA". It matches the Rfam family "Bacterial small subunit ribosomal RNA", at positions 50 to 524 of the family's 1533-position model. The record is from RNAcentral.
AACACAUGCAAGUCGAACGAUGCUUUCGGGCAUAGAGGCGCACGGGUGCGUAACGCGUGGGAAUCUGCCCUUAGGUUCGGAAUAACAGUUAGAAAUGACUGCUAAUACCGGAUGAUGACGUAAGUCCAAAGAUUUAUCGCCCAGGGAUGAGCCCGCGUAGGAUUAGCUAGUUGGUGGGGUAAAGGCCUACCAAGGCGACGAUCCUUAGCUGGUCUGAGAGGAUGAUCAGCCACACUGGGACUGAGACACGGCCCAGACUCCUACGGGAGGCAGCAGUGGGGAAUAUUGGACAAUGGGCGAAAGCCUGAUCCAGCAAUGCCGCGUGAGUGAUGAAGGCCUUAGGGUUGUAAAGCUCUUUUACCCGGGAUGAUAAUGACCGUACCGGGAGAAUAAGCCCCGGCUAACUCCGUGCCAGCAGCCGCGGUAAU